This is a long non-coding RNA of Cyprinus carpio carpio, 1001 nucleotides long. NCBI's taxonomy places the organism in Eukaryota, Metazoa, Chordata, Actinopteri, Cypriniformes, Cyprinidae. The record is from Ensembl.
AGUGAAAGGUUUAAUGAAUGUAUUUGUAUCUUGAUAAUGAAGAUUGUAGUAUAGCCAAUACUGUUAAUUUAAGUUUUUAUAUUUUUAACUCCACUAAUGUGAUUUUUUUUAUAGAAUUAGAAAACCCAAAAUCGUUAUCUCUAGAAUAUUUUUUCAAUUAUUUUAUGUGAAUUUUUUUUCUUGUAUAGUAUCUUAUACUAUGAUGAACACGUUAUUUUUUUAUUUACUGUUUUAUGGCGUUAUGAUUGUUAUUGUUAGAUACAACCGUCUUACCAUGAUCUUUUAUGUAAUAAGUUUGGCAAUAAUAAUAAAAAAGAGGUACAGGUGCACUACCACCUCACAGCAUCACUAACUCAACAGUCCAGUACAGUUUCUCUCAGCGACUCUGCAAUAUCUGCACAAACGAAACGUCGAACAGCUGCUCAAAGAUCUCACCUUUGGAGAAGAUUGUUGAUUUUAUACUCUAAAAAUACGGUGAACCCCACAUCUUACUAUCAUCUCAACACAGCUGAGACAGUUCUGCUGCUGCGCUGUGCUUCACAAUCUCACUCUUCUCAACGGGGAUGUCGUUGAGCAACAGGAUGAGGAAGACCUUGAUGACGGCUCUCUGAACCACACUACCUUGAAGCGAGAGCAGAAGAACACAUGCAGGACAAUCUGACUGCUGCUGUGUCUGCUCCAAACAAUCGUGUGCUAAUCUCCAUGAGCACCACUACCUGUAAAACAUUUACACAGAGUUUACAAGUACAUGCAUUGAUUUAUUACUUUUGUAGUGUGCUAAACCACUGAACUGGUUCAAAACUGUGCUUGAGCACGGCUCUUUUCUCCAGCUUGAUCAGAGGAUUGUAGGCCUCUGUAAUAAGAGCACUGUCAAUCACUUCAGAUGAAAGCUCCAUCACAUUUUUUGAUGAUGCUUUUGAAGCUUCUGAAAGUCAGCCUUCGUCUUAUAAACAGAAACCAGCAGAACAAACUUUACCAAAAUCAAAUCCUCAGUGUCUUUU